RNAcentral lists this transfer RNA (72 nucleotides) under Camelus dromedarius (Arabian camel). It matches the Rfam family "tRNA". Rfam says of the family: Transfer RNA (tRNA) molecules are approximately 80 nucleotides in length. Their secondary structure includes four short double-helical elements and three loops (D, anti-codon, and T loops). Further hydrogen bonds mediate the characteristic L-shaped molecular structure. tRNAs have two regions of fundamental functional importance: the anti-codon, which is responsible for specific mRNA codon recognition, and the 3' end, to which the tRNAs corresponding amino acid is attached (by aminoacyl-tRNA synthetases). tRNAs cope with the degeneracy of the genetic code in two manners: having more than one tRNA (with a specific anti-codon) for a particular amino acid; and 'wobble' base-pairing, i.e. permitting non-standard base-pairing at the 3rd anti-codon position. RNAcentral also lists the same sequence under 1 other name. The record is from Rfam by way of RNAcentral. Lineage: Eukaryota; Metazoa; Chordata; Mammalia; Artiodactyla; Camelidae.
GAGGGUAUAGCUCAAUGGUAGAGCACGUGCUUAGCAUGCAUGAGGCCCUGGGUUCAAUCCCCAGCACCUCCA